UCUCAGUGCUUGUGAUAAUAUUUAUACUCAAGGAACAAGAGCCCAGAGAGUGACUCAGCCCGAGAAGCUCCUCUCUGUCUUUAAAGGGGCCCCAGUGGAGCUGAAGUGCAACUAUUCCUAUUCUGGGAGUCCUGAACUCUUCUGUACUCUUGAGACACAUCUCUAGAGAGAGCAUCAAAGGCUUCACUGCUGACCUUAACAAAGGCGAGACAUCUUUCCACCUGAAGAAACCAUUUGCUCAAGAGGAAGACUCAGCCAUGUAUUACUGUGCUCUAAGUGGCACAGCGGAUCUGAAAAGCUGGUCUUUGGAAAGGGAACGAAACUGACAGUAAACCCAUUAUCCAGAACCCUGACCCUGCCGUGUACCAGCUG
This 372-nucleotide long non-coding RNA is filed under the name Homo sapiens (human). RNAcentral's name for it is "non-protein coding lnc-ABHD4-12:11". Lineage: Eukaryota; Metazoa; Chordata; Mammalia; Primates; Hominidae. The record is from RNAcentral.